Anguilla rostrata (American eel) is the source of this 1009-nucleotide long non-coding RNA. RefSeq lists it as uncharacterized. The record is from RefSeq and is a predicted model, not a curated record. The transcript is spliced from 2 exons. Lineage: Eukaryota; Metazoa; Chordata; Actinopteri; Anguilliformes; Anguillidae.
GGGCAAAGCCGGUACCUCUCAGCUGAGCUGCUUACUGUCUGUAGCUCCUUUCCUCUCUUCCUCCCUCUCACUAGCUAAUUAAGGCUAGCGUGCACACAGUCGCACUGGUUCAGGAGCAGGCUAAUCUCCUGUAGGUUCAGGUGCAGGCUAAUUUCCUGUAGGUUCAGGUGCAGGCUAAGUUCCUGUAGGUGUCUCUCUCUCUCUGUCUGUGGGUUAUUGGCUCAUCUCUCACCCUUCUGCUGUAGCUCAGAGCUGGGCCGCUCUCAGCCAGGGCUCCUGACCCCAGAACCCAGGGCAGGUGUGUGUACCCAGCAGACCCCAAACUGGCUCUGCCCUCUCAGCUGGCCCACAUUAGCCCUGUGCCAACUGGCUCUGUGCUGUCAGCUAGCCCACAUUAGUCCUGUGCCAACUGGCUCUGUGCUGUCAGCUAGCCCACAAUAGCCCUGUGCUAACUGGCUCUGUGCUGUCAGCUAGCCCACAUUAGCCCUGUGCUAACUGGCUCUGUGCUGUCAGCUAGCCCACAUUAGCCCUGUGCUAACUGGCUCUGCACUUUCAGUUAGCCCACAUUAGCCCUGUGCUAACUGGCUUUCUGCUGUCAGCUAGCCCACAUUAGCCCUGUGCUAACGGGCUCUGUGCUCUCAGCUAGCCCACAUUAGCCCUGUGCUAACGGUCUCUGUGCUCUCAGCUAGCCCACAUUAGCCCUGUGCUAACGGUCUCUGUGCUCUCAGCUAGCCCACAUUAGCCCUGUGCUAACGGGCUCUGUGCUCUCAGCUAGCCCACAUUAGCCUGGUGCUAACUCAUUGCCCCUCUUCUACCAGCUGGACACAAUAGGGUGUGUCAGGUCACCAAGGCCCCCCCCAAUUUGCCCUUCUCUCUCUCCCUCUCGUUUGUUGUCUUUGGUGGAAUGCGCUCAUCUCUCGGCUUUUUUAACACUCUCCCCUUCUUCCUUCCCUUCCUCCUUCUCUCCCUCCCUCCUUCCCUCUCUCCCUCCUCUCACUGCUGUUCUUUU